UACGUAGGUGGCAAGCGAUGUCCGGAAUUACUGGGUGUAAAGGGCGUGUAGGCGGGUAUGCAAGUCAGAUGUGACAUUCCUCUGCUCAACGGGGGCGCUGCAUCAGAAACUGUAUAUCUUGAGUGCUGGAGAGGAAAGCGGAAGUCCUAGUGUAGCGGUGAAAUGCGUAGAUAUUAGGAGGAACACCAGUGGCGAAGGCGGCUGUCUGGACAGUAAAGGACGCUGAGGCGCUAAAGCGUGGGGAGCAAACAGG
Molecule: ribosomal RNA, 253 nt
Filed under: uncultured bacterium
Lineage: Bacteria
Description: partial 16S ribosomal RNA
Rfam family: Bacterial small subunit ribosomal RNA
Source: RNAcentral